RNAcentral lists this ribosomal RNA (253 nucleotides) under uncultured bacterium. Its description in RNAcentral is "partial 16S ribosomal RNA". It matches the Rfam family "Bacterial small subunit ribosomal RNA", at positions 524 to 776 of the family's 1533-position model. The record is from RNAcentral.
UACGUAGGGGGCAAGCGUUGUCCGGAAUCAUUGGGCGUAAAGCGCGUGUAGGCGGCUUCGUAAGUCCGUUGUGAAAGUCCAGGGCUCAACCCUGGAAUGCCGAUGGAUACUGCGGAGCUAGAGUCCGGAAGAGGCGAGUGGAAUUCCUGGUGUAGCGGUGAAAUGCGCAGAUAUCAGGAGGAACACCAAUGGCGAAGGCAGCUCGCUGGGACGGUACUGACGCUGAGAAGCGAAAGCAUGGGGAGCGAACAGG